RNAcentral lists this ribosomal RNA (778 nucleotides) under uncultured fungus. RNAcentral's name for it is "eukaryotic LSU rRNA". The stretch from base 1 to 241 matches the Rfam family "Eukaryotic small subunit ribosomal RNA", at positions 1593 to 1831 of the family's 1831-position model. The record is from RNAcentral. Lineage: Eukaryota; Fungi.
UUGCUCUUCAACGAGGAAUCCCUAGUAAGCGCAAGUCAUCAGCUUGCGUUGAUUACGUCCCUGCCCUUUGUACACACCGCCCGUCGCUACUACCGAUUGAAUGGCUCAGUGAGGCUUCCGGACUGGCCCAGAGAGGUCGGCAACGACCACUCAGGGCCGGAAAGCUAUCCAAACUCGGUCAUUUAGAGGAAGUAAAAGUCGUAACAAGGUCUCCGUUGGUGAACCAGCGGAGGGAUCAUUACAGAGUUGCAAGACUCCCUAAACCAUUGUGAACCUACCUUCUACCGUUGCUUCGGCGGGCGGGCCCAGCGCCCCCCCGGCCCCCCGCGGGCGCCCGCCGGAGGAUACCCAAACUCUUGACAUUAGUGGCCUCUCUGAGUAUUCUUUACUGAAUAAGUCAAAACUUUCAACAACGGAUCUCUUGGUUCUGGCAUCGGUGAAGAACGCAGCGAAAUGCGAUAAGUAAUGUGAAUUGCAGAAUUCAGUGAAUCAUCGAAUCUUUGAACGCACAUUGCGCCCGCCAGUAUUCUGGCGGGCAUGCCUGUUCGAGCGUCAUUUCAACCAUCAAGCCCCCGGGCUUGUGUUGGGGACCUGCGGCUGCCCGCAGGCCCUGAAAACCAGUGGCGGGCUCGCUAGUCACACCGAGCGUAGUAGCAUACAUCUCGCUCAGGGCGUGCUGCGGGUUCCGGCCGUUAAACAGCCUCUGCGCUACACCCAAGGUUGACCUCGGAUCAGGUAGGAAGACCCGCUGAACUUAAGCAUAUCAAUAAGCGGAGGA